RNAcentral lists this ribosomal RNA (970 nucleotides) under Acinetobacter sp. NF27. RNAcentral's name for it is "bacterial SSU rRNA". It matches the Rfam family "Bacterial small subunit ribosomal RNA", at positions 534 to 1533 of the family's 1533-position model. The record is from RNAcentral. Lineage: Bacteria; Pseudomonadati; Pseudomonadota; Gammaproteobacteria; Moraxellales; Moraxellaceae.
AUAGGUACGUAUCGGAUUUACUGGGCGUAAGCGCGCGUAGGUGGUUAAUUAAGUCAAAUGUGAAAUCCCCGAGCUUAACUUGGGAAUUGCAUUCGAUACUGGUUAGCUAGAGUAUGGGAGAGGAUGGUAGAAUUCCAGGUGUAGCGGUGAAAUGCGUAGAGAUCUGGAGGAAUACCGAUGGCGAAGGCAGCCAUCUGGCCUAAUACUGACACUGAGGUGCGAAAGCAUGGGGAGCAAACAGGAUUAGAUACCCUGGUAGUCCAUGCCGUAAACGAUGUCUACUAGCCGUUGGGGGAUUUGAUCCUUUAGUGGCGCAGCUAACGCGAUAAGUAGACCGCCUGGGGAGUACGGUCGCAAGACUAAAACUCAAAUGAAUUGACGGGGGCCCGCACAAGCGGUGGAGCAUGUGGUUUAAUUCGAUGCAACGCGAAGAACCUUACCUGGCCUUGACAUAGUAGAGACUUUCCAGAGAUGGAUUGGUGCCUUCGGGAAUCUACAUACAGGUGCUGCAUGGCUGUCGUCAGCUCGUGUCGUGAGAUGUUGGGUUAAGUCCCGCAACGAGCGCAACCCUUUUCCUUACUUGCCAGCAUUUCGGAUGGGAACUUUAAGGAUACUGCCAGUGACAAACUGGAGGAAGGCGGGGACGACGUCAAGUCAUCAUGGCCCUUACGGCCAGGGCUACACACGUGCUACAAUGGUCGGUACAAAGGGUUGCUACACAGCGAUGUGAUGCUAAUCUCAAAAAGCCGAUCGUAGUCCGGAUCGCAGUCUGCAACUCGACUGCGUGAAGUCGGAAUCGCUAGUAAUCGCGGAUCAGAUGCCGCGGUGAAUACGUUCCCGGGCCUUGUACACACCGCCCGUCACACCAUGGGAGUUUGUUGCACCAGAGUAGUAGUCUAACCUUAGGAGGACGCUUACCACGGUGUGGCCGAUGACUGGGGUGAGUCUCGAGGGAACGACGAAUAUAAAA